RNAcentral lists this ribosomal RNA (339 nucleotides) under uncultured bacterium. Its description in RNAcentral is "bacterial SSU rRNA". It matches the Rfam family "Bacterial small subunit ribosomal RNA", at positions 29 to 394 of the family's 1533-position model. The record is from RNAcentral.
AACGAACGCUGGCGGCAGGCUUAACACAUGCAAGUCGAACGGUUGUAGCAAUACAGCAGUGGCAGACGGGUGAGUAACACGUGGGAACCUUCCUAGGGGUACGAACAACUCAGGGAAACUUGAGCUAAUACCGUAUACGUCCGUGAGGAGAAAGUUUUAACGCCCCUAGACGGGCCCGCGUAGGAUUAGGUAGUUGGUGAGGUAACGGCUCACCAAGCCUACGAUCCUUAGCUGAUCUGAGAGGANGAUCAGCCACACUGGGACUGAGACACGGCCCAGACUCCUACGGGAGGCAGCAGUGGGGAAUCUUGGACAAUGGGCGCAAGCCUGAUCCAGCCA